GUCUGGGAAACUGCCUGAUGGAGGGGGAUAACUACUGGAAACGGUGGCUAAUACCGCAUAACGUCGCAAGACCAAAGAGGGGGACCUUCGGGCCUCUUGCCAUCAGAUGUGCCCAGAUGGGAUUAGCUUGUUGGUGAGGUAACGGCUCACCAAGGCGACGAUCCCUAGCUGGUCUGAGAGGAUGACCAGCCACACUGGAACUGAGACACGGUCCAGACUCCUACGGGAGGCAGCAGUGGGGAAUAUUGCACAAUGGGCGCAAGCCUGAUGCAGCCAUGCCGCGUGUAUGAAGAAGGCCUUCGGGUUGUAAAGUACUU
Molecule: ribosomal RNA, 317 nt
Filed under: Salmonella enterica
Lineage: Bacteria; Pseudomonadati; Pseudomonadota; Gammaproteobacteria; Enterobacterales; Enterobacteriaceae
Also listed under: 2 other names
Description: bacterial SSU rRNA
Rfam family: Bacterial small subunit ribosomal RNA
Source: RNAcentral